AGAGUUUGAUCCUGGCUCAGGACGAACGCUGGCGGCGUGCCUAAUACAUGCAAGUCGAGCGAGCGGAACUAACAGAUUUACUUCUGUAAUGACGUUAGGAAAGCGAGCGGCGGAUGGGUGAGUAACACGUGGGGAACCUGCCCCAUAGUCUGGGAUACCACUUGGAAACAGGUGCUAAUACCGGAUAAGAAAGCAGAUCGCAUGAUCAGCUUUUAAAAGGCGGCGUAAGCUGUCGCUAUGGGAUGGCCCCGCGGUGCAUUAGCUAGUUGGUAAGGUAAAGGCUUACCAAGGCGAUGAUGCAUAGCCGAGUUGAGAGACUGAUCGGCCACAUUGGGACUGAGACACGGCCCAAACUCCUACGGGAGGCAGCAGUAGGGAAUCUUCCACAAUGGACGCAAGUCUGAUGGAGCAACGCCGCGUGAGUGAAGAAGGUUUUCGGAUCGUAAAGCUCUGUUGUUGGUGAAGAAGGAUAGAGGUAGUAACUGGCCUUUAUUUGACGGUAAUCAACCAGAAAGUCACGGCUAACUACGUGCCAGCAGCCGCGGUAAUACGUAGGUGGCAAGCGUUGUCCGGAUUUAUUGGGCGUAAAGCGAGCGCAGGCGGAAGAAUAAGUCUGAUGUGAAAGCCCUCGGCUUAACCGAGGAACUGCAUCGGAAACUGUUUUUCUUGAGUGCAGAAGAGGAGAGUGGAACUCCAUGUGUAGCGGUGGAAUGCGUAGAUAUAUGGAAGAACACCAGUGGCGAAGGCGGCUCUCUGGUCUGCAACUGACGCUGAGGCUCGAAAGCAUGGGUAGCGAACAGGAUUAGAUACCCUGGUAGUCCAUGCCGUAAACGAUGAGUGCUAAGUGUUGGGAGGUUUCCGCCUCUCAGUGCUGCAGCUAACGCAUUAAGCACUCCGCCUGGGGAGUACGACCGCAAGGUUGAAACUCAAAGGAACUGACGGGGGCCCGCACAAGCGGUGGAGCAUGUGGUUUAAUUCGAAGCAACGCGAAGAACCUUACCAGGUCUUGACAUCUAGUGCCAUUUGUAGAGAUACAAAGUUCCCUUCGGGGACGCUAAGACAGGUGGUGCAUGGCUGUCGUCAGCUCGUGUCGUGAGAUGUUGGGUUAAGUCCCGCAACGAGCGCAACCCUUGUUAUUAGUUGCCAGCAUUAAGUUGGGCACUCUAAUGAGACUGCCGGUGACAAACCGGAGGAAGGUGGGGAUGACGUCAAGUCAUCAUGCCCCUUAUGACCUGGGCUACACACGUGCUACAAUGGGCAGUACAACGAGAAGCGAGCCUGCGAAGGCAAGCGAAUCUCUGAAAGCUGUUCUCAGUUCGGACUGCAGUCUGCAACUCGACUGCACGAAGCUGGAAUCGCUAGUAAUCGCGGAUCAGCACGCCGCGGUGAAUACGUUCCCGGGCCUUGUACACACCGCCCGUCACACCAUGGGAGUCUGCAAUGCCCAAAGCCGGUGGCCUAACCUUCGGGAAGGAGCCGUCUAAGGCAGGGCAGAUGACUGGGGUGAAGUCGUAACAAGGUAGCCGUAGGAGAACCUGCGGCUGGAUCACCUCCUU
This 1556-nucleotide ribosomal RNA is filed under the name uncultured bacterium. Its description in RNAcentral is "bacterial SSU rRNA". It matches the Rfam family "Bacterial small subunit ribosomal RNA". The record is from RNAcentral.